AUUGAACGCUGGCGGCAGGCUUAACACAUGCAAGUCGAGCGGAGGGAGGGUGCUUGCACCUUAGCUUAGCGGCGGACGGGUGAGUAAUGCUUAGGAAUCUGCCUAUUAGUGGGGGACAACAUUCCGAAAGGAAUGCUAAUACCGCAUACGCCCUACGGGGGAAAGCAGGGGAUCUUCGGACCUUGCGCUAAUAGAUGAGCCUAAGUCGGAUUAGCUAGUUGGUGGGGUAAAGGCCUACCAAGGCGACGAUCUGUAGCGGGUCUGAGAGGAUGAUCCGCCACACUGGGACUGAGACACGGCCCAGACUCCUACGGGAGGCAGCAGUGGGGAAUAUUGGACAAUGGGCGGAAGCCUGAUCCAGCCAUGCCGCGUGUGUGAAGAAGGCCUUUUGGUUGUAAAGCACAUUAAGCGAGGAGGAGGCUACUUAGAUUAAUACUCUAGGAUAGUGGACGUUACUCGCAGAAUAAGCACCGGCUAACUCUGUGCCAGCCGCCGCAGUAA
RNAcentral lists this ribosomal RNA (501 nucleotides) under uncultured bacterium. RNAcentral's name for it is "partial 16S ribosomal RNA". It matches the Rfam family "Bacterial small subunit ribosomal RNA", at positions 30 to 523 of the family's 1533-position model. The record is from RNAcentral.